AAGAAAAGGAUGAAUUUGAAGGUGAAAUCCGAUGCUUCAAGUGCAAAGGCUACGGUCACAUCGCAACGGAUUGUCCCUCAAAGAAAUCAUAUAGUAAGAAGGCAUUGCAAGCAAAGACGUGGGAUGAUGCAACUUCAAGUGAUUCAAGCUCGAGUGACGAAGAAAAGAAUGGAAACCUUGCUUUAUUUGCUAAAUCUACCUUGCCUUCGUCUAACGAUCCUCUAUUGCUACUAAUUCCAAUAUUUCUCUUUCUUCGCAUGAUUCUUCGAGCGACAAUGGCAAAAGCGAGGAGGAAUCAAACGACAACGACAUAGCGGAAGCGUACAAUCAACUUCUUAUUGAAUCAAAGAAGAUGGCUAAACUUAAUAAGAAGUUGAGGCGUCGUUUGUUGAAUCUUGAAGAGGACAACAACAACUUGAAGACCACAAACAAAGCUCUUGAGGAGGAAAGGGAAUCAAUUUUGAAAAAUAAUUCGGACCUCCAAGAGAAGCUCAAUGAAACGGAAUAAACGAUCUAAUCAUGUAAAGACAAGAUUGGAUUUUUAGAACAUCAAUUUCAUGAAUCGCACAAAUCCAAUCAAUCCUUGAUCAACCAAUUCGACAACUCCAAAUCGACAUUCAAAAGUUUUCAUUGAGAUCUAAGAAAUUGGAUAAAAUGCUUGGAUUGGGUCAAACGGAUAAAUUAGGCCUCGGAGACGAAAGAGUUUUUGUUGAGAAGGAUUCUAAAUCAACUUCGAAAGUCUCAACAACUUUGAAAGACAAGGCGUGUCAUCGUUGUGGCAUUAAAGGACACAUCAAAAAGAAUUGCUCAAACAAGGAAAAGAUGAAUCAAUCGGCAAGGACUUCACAUCAUUCGACAACUCCUAAAGCUCAAGCGGCAUCAUCUACAACUCGACUUCCCCCGCGGAAUCAAAAGAAAAAUCAAGUGAGUCGAGUAUCUCAAAAGAAUCGGACUUCUAAACCGCAACGCCAAGUUCUAACUUAGCCUCAAGUGAAGAAAACACCAACGGUUGAUCUAAAAUCUAAGCAAAUGGCAUCAAACGUCGACAAGUCGAGAAAACCAAAGAUCCGACAAGUUUGGAUCCGGAAAGGUGAUAUCUUUCCUUGCUUCUCGUCUUAGUUGUUUUUUGAUUGCUUGUGUAGUGCUUUGAUAGGUGCUUAUUGCAUAUGUUUAUUCGCUGCAUUACAUGUUUAAAUAAUUUUUGGUGCUUUGAAUUUUGUUUGUUUAAAGAUCAUUUUGAGGAAAGGUGUUUGGGAAUUUAAAAAUUUUUCUUUGAGAGAGGAGAUGAUUGAGAAUCAUUAUUUUGAGGAGAGAAAUUUUUCAAAAUUGUUUAAACGGUGUUUAACUUCACAAUCAUAUUAAUUAUCGUUUUUACUCCACUUUUUAUUAUUUUGACGAUAAUUUAAUAUAUGAUUUCUCAAUACAUAUAUUUAUCAAAAUUUUGAAAUCAAAUUUGAUCUCUUGAUGAUUAAUCUAUCUCGGUUGUGGGUGUUGAAUAUGACAGAUGGAUAUUCGCUAAUAGGUUUCCUCAUCUAAUUUAAUCGUUUUUACCUCAUCUAAUCUCAAGUUUCAGCUUCUAGCUGAAUUCAUAUUGUUCUAUUAGGUUUCCUCAUAGAAUUACAUGCUAGUAGCAAGUUCUAACAUCCAAAAUCUGUUAAGGUUUUUGUAUUGGCAAGUUUCGUGAAAUGAGUCAGAGUCUUGAAGAAUCGAAGCAGAUUGACGAAGAUUGAAGAAUUCAAUAUUUCGAAGAUUUUGGAAAGUAGCUCACAAUGUGAAUCACGAUGUAAAGGUAAAGUUUUAAUUCAUUUUAUGGUGAUUCAUACUUAGUUAUAGACAUUAAAAUCAUAAACUUAAAGUUUAAUGAAUUAGAAAGUGCCUCGGAACAUUGUGAUACCCGAAACAGUGCAAAGUGUGAAAUUUGCACUGUGUACGGGUACAGCAAGUGCCCCGUACUGGUACAGCCAUCAACAUUGGCAAUGCAAAUUUUCGUUCCGUCAUUGUGUAACCGGUGACAGCUUUUCGCGUACCGGUACACAGUGUAAAAUCGUGAAAACUUUCUAAUCCGACUCCAAUUGAUUCUAAAGUCUAUAAAUAAGCUAUUCGGUUUUUCUAACAGAUUAAGGAUCACGAAAAUACAUGUUUGAGAAACCCUAGAGGCUCGGAUUUCAUCUAAAACCUAUUUUCUACAUAUUAGCCUCUUUUAGGUCAAAUCGAGAUAUUGAAAUUUCAUAUCUAUAUGUCGAUUUGAUCUCCGCUUCGCUUGGAGUUUCUUUCUUUGGUUUUCAUCGAUACUCUAAGCGAAGGAUCACCAUACUCAUGAUGUUCUUCAUGGUGGCGUCGUGGAUUCGGCGUGUUUAACGGCGGUUCGUGAAUUCGAAUCGUGGGCUCGUGGAUUCGAGUGGCGUUCGUAGAUUCGGACGUGUGCGAGGCGUUCGUGGAUUCGAACGUGAGGGCGUGGACAACCCAGAGGAUUGCGCGAGAUUCAUAGGAUGUUAAGAGAGGUUGAGUCCGUGGAGUCGGUAAUCACCUUGUAAUUUUUUCUUUUAGUGAAUUAUUUUUUCGCGUGUUGGUCCCGUGGGUUUUUUACUCCAAGUUGGAGUUUUCCCACGUAAAUCUCGGUGUGAUUUUUAUUUUCCGCAUUUAUUUUUAUCGCAUUGAGAUUUGUGGUUUUUGGCUAUUUCACCUAUUCACCCCCCUCUAGGUGAUAGAUACAAUAUAGAUAGAUCCUUGGGCUCCUCAAAACUUUCAAUUGGUAUCAAAGAAGGAUCUAGAUAAAUUGUUUAUCUAAUGGUCGAAAGUGGAAACAUUAAUCGACCACCGCUCUUCGAUGGCACAAACCCUAUUGGAAAGUUCGCAUGAGUGCUUUUCUAAUUGCAAUCGAUGAGCGCGUUUGGCAAUCAAUAGAAUUUGGAUGGGAACCUCCCAUUGAAAAGGUCAAGAAUGUUGAAAUGCCAAAACAACGGAACAAGUAGACGAAAGAUGAAAACGAGGCAUCUUCGUUUAACGGUAAGGGCAUAAACGCUUUAUUUAAUGCAUUGUCUCAAAAGGAGUUUACUCGUGUUUCGGCGUGUGAAACCGCCAAGGAGAUUUGGGAUAUUCUUCAAGUUACACAUGAAGGAACGAGCUUAGUAAAGGUCCAAAAGUAGCAAAUGCUAACAAGCAAGUUUGAUUCUACUUGUAUGGAUGAAAAUGAGACCUUUACCGAGUAUUAUACGCAUCUACAAGACGUUGUGAAUACAUGUGCUAACUUGGGAGAGAAAAUCUCGGAUUCAAAGGUUGUUAGAAAGAUUCUUCGAACUCUUCUGGAACGCUUUCGGGCAAAAGUUGCCGCGAUCGAAACCGUUAAGCAUCCGGAUGAGAUGAAAGUCGAAGAGUUAGUAGGCGCUUUACAAACAUAUGAGAUGACUUUUCCUACUAAUCAAUCUUCUUCGAAGUCUUUCUCUAAAAGCACAGGGGUUGCAUUGAAAUCGACGAAAGAGGAAGACGGCGACUCGAAUUCCGAUGGAGAGAUCUCAAUUGCCGACUUCGAACAUCAACUUGCGCUCCUCACGAAAAAGUUUCGCCGGAAUUUCCGAAAGAAGAACAAUUCGGACAAGGCUACAUCAUCUAAGCAACAAACGUUUUUUAAAUCUUCUACAUCUAAAGAGAAGAAGCAUGCAAAGGCUUCGAAAGAAAAGGAUGAAUUUGAAGGUGAAAUCCGAUGCUUCAAGUGCAAAGGCUACGGUCACAUCGCAACGGAUUGUCCCUCAAAGAAAUCAUAUAGUAAGAAGGCAUUGCAAGCAAAGAUGUGGGAUGAUGCAACUUCAAGUGAUUCAAGCUCGAGUGACGAAGAAAAGAAUGGAAACCUUACUUUAUUUGCUAAAUCUACCUUGCCUUCGUCUAACGUUGUUUGUUUAUCCUCUAUUGCUACUAAUUCCAAUAUUUCUCUUUCUUCGCAUGAUUCUUCGAGCGACAAUGGCAAAAGUGAGGAGGAAUCAAACGACGACGACAUAGCGGAAGCGUACAAUCAACUUCUUAUUGAAUCAAAGAAGAUGGCUAAACUUAAUAAGAAGUUGAGGCGUCGUUUGUUGAAUCUUGAAGAGGACAACAACAACUUGAAGACCACAAACAAAGCUCUUGAGGAGGAAAGGGAAUCAAUUUUGAAAAAUAAUUCAGACCUCCAAGAGAAGCUCAAUGAAGCGGAAUCAACGAUCAAAUCAUCUAAAAACAAGAUUGGAUUUUUGGAGCAUCAAUUUCAUGAAUCGCACAAAUCCAAUCAAUCCUUGAUCAACCAAGUUCGACAACUCCAAAUCGACAUUCAAAAGUUUUCAUCGAGAUCUAAGAAAUUGGAUAAAAUGCUUGGAUUGGGUCAAACGGAUAAAUUAGGCCUCGGAUACGAAAGAAUUUUUGUUGAGAAGGAUUCUAAAUCAACUUCGAAAGUCUCAACAACUUUGAAAGACAAGGCGUGUCAUCGUUGUGGC
Molecule: long non-coding RNA, 4460 nt
Filed under: Ananas comosus (pineapple)
Lineage: Eukaryota; Viridiplantae; Streptophyta; Magnoliopsida; Poales; Bromeliaceae
Description: long non-coding RNA (ACOM_LNC034115)
Source: RNAcentral